This 831-nucleotide long non-coding RNA is filed under the name Dromaius novaehollandiae (emu). Its description in RNAcentral is "lncRNA (ENSDNVG00000007710.1)". Lineage: Eukaryota; Metazoa; Chordata; Aves; Casuariiformes; Dromaiidae. The record is from RNAcentral.
CAAAUCAUCACACUAGAUCAGCAUCACAAAUCCGCAAAUUAUUCAUAAAUUAUUUGGAAAAUACUUGAUUUUUAAGAAUGUGAAAUAAAAUAAGUGCCCAAUAAAAAUCAAACAAAAAAUAUCCCCCAACCUACCAACCAAUACAAACAAAGCAAAUGGCCAAAACCUCAAAAAACAAACAUUUUCCUCUUACCCAUAACAUCAUGUGAACUCUUUUGUGCAUAAGUAAAGGCAGUUUAUAAUUCAGAAGUUUUUCUCAUAUAAGCCGUCAUAUUUUAUUAGUGACCUGCCGCAAAUGCAAGGAGAGAGAAACCUGCUGCAGCGCCAGUGGUGGAUGUGUCCUGCUGAGUCUGAUUGAUGGCGACAUAAAGAGUUUUUGAAGUUUUAUGCUCUGGCUGUACAGGAGAUGGACACGAAGUCCUCCGCAUGUGAAGCAUGGCCCAAGCGUUUAGGUGGUCAAUUGCCUGCUGAAUCCAAAGGCCGYCACUAAGACAGAGUCAAGUUUUUCGCGCUGUGAUGUAUUUCCAUAUGACCUUGCAACUAAAUUGAUUUUUGAUCCGAGUGGAGUYGUUUGCUGCUGAGGAGACAGAACGGGACCCGAAGGGGGCAAACACUGAAUCUUUUUGGCUUGACUUUCAGUCAAGGUACAGUAACUGAGAACUGUCCAGAUGAUUUGUCUAAGCUGGAAGAGAGAGGUCUGGACUCUCAUGUCUGCCUAUACCCAUACGAGAAACUUCGUAAUCCUGAGCACUCCACAGGUUCCAUGGGUUGUUUUCCGGUGUAUCCUGUCUGAGAAAUGACUCAAUGCAAAUAAAACAUUCAACUUUUGCA